UUUAGUUUUCAGCGGACACAAAAUAUUUUAUGUGGUGCUGAAGAUUGAACCUGAGCCGCAUGCAUGCCAGGCGAGAGCGCUACCGCUUGAGCCACAUCCCCAGCCCUCAAAUGUCUUUGGAGAGAAAGAGGAGGGGGAAAAAGAAAGAAAGCAUAAGCAGUAACCUGCUUCGUCCCUGGUCCAGCAGGGCUGACCUCUGCGUGGCUCUCACUGUCCAGUUGUCACCUGCCCCCAGCAUUCCUUGGUUCUCUCAUGCUUCCUGCACUAGCUCCUUUUAUUCUUUCCAUUUUGCAAGGUCUAGUCCCCUCAGCUCUGUGCUUGAGUUUGGGAACAAGAGCCUCACCCCUUCUGGGAGUUUCAUUCUGUGACUCACCCUGAUGUCCCACUGGUAGACCUCUUGAAGCUUCAUCAAGUGUAAUUCCCAUCCCUCUAGGUGUCUCUCCUUAUUCAGCCUCGAAGGUCAAACACCAGGUGACCUGGAUGAGCUAUUUCUCUCAGACAUGCUGUCCCCUGCAAUCUGUAAUCCUAGAGGACUGUGACAUCUAGGAGCAUUCCCUAUGCAGCGUUGCCCUGCCCCACUUAGCCCUAACUGUGUCCUCUGGAACCAAAGCCAGUUCAGAGCCUCAUGUUUAAGUAGAGGGUCCGGCCAGCAUCAAAGACAUGGAAUAAUGACCUAAAUCCAGUGCAUUUCUGGGGUGAGAUUUGGUUUUAGACAUUUACGUGUCUGCUGAGAUACGUGCAAUAUUAAAUAGUUUGCCUUUGAAAAAAGGAAGAUGAUGAUAAAUUUCCCAAAGGACAAUUUGGUUUAGGGGAGGGAGAAAGGCAGCAAUUUUCUGGAAAAGGAAUGCUCUCUCCUUGACUUACACCCAGCAAAAUCACACACCCUCAAGGUCUUUCUAGAAGUCAAACUUGUUCCUGUUUUAGGAACCAAAGUCUUUCUGUCCAAGAGAAAGACUUGGGGGACUUUGAUUUCCUUUAGUAUCCAUUGUGUUCUAAGCCACAAUAUUUAAUUUGCUUGUCAUCUUACAGUUUUAUCUUUGAUUACUUGAGGAUUAAAAGAAAGAAAAAAAAAGAGAUCCUUUCCUCCUCAAAAAAAGUAUCACUUGCUUUAUGAGUCAAAAACUUUCAUCUUAUAGACAUUGGUUAACUAGAUCAUUUCUCUCCCUUGUCUGCAUACCUGGAUGUAAUUUUAUUAAUAAAAAGAUUUUAUAUUUCAAAUACAUUUGUGGGUAAAUUUACUUUUUAUUCUAUAUGCACACAAGG
Molecule: long non-coding RNA, 1263 nt
Filed under: Marmota monax (woodchuck)
Lineage: Eukaryota; Metazoa; Chordata; Mammalia; Rodentia; Sciuridae
Source: RNAcentral